RNAcentral lists this ribosomal RNA (376 nucleotides) under uncultured bacterium. RNAcentral describes it as "bacterial SSU rRNA". It matches the Rfam family "Bacterial small subunit ribosomal RNA", at positions 523 to 898 of the family's 1533-position model. The record is from RNAcentral.
AUACGUAGGGAGCAAGCGUUGUCCGGAUUUACUGGGUGUAAAGGGUGCGUAGGCGGCUUUACAAGUCAGGCGUGAAAUAUAUGGGCUUAACCCAUAGACUGCGUUUGAAACUGUAGAGCUUGAGUGAAGUAGAGGUAGGCGGAAUUCCCGGUGUAGCGGUGAAAUGCGUAGAGAUCGGGAGGAACACCAGUGGCGAAGGCGGCCUACUGGGCAUCAACUGACGCUGAGGCUCGAAAGCAUGGGUAGCAAACAGGAUUAGAUACCCUGGUAGUCCAUGCUGUAAACGAUGAUUACUAGGUGUGGGAAGAUUGACCCUUUCCGUGCCGCAGUUAACACAAUAAGUAAUCCACCUGGGGAGUACGACCGCAAGGUUGAA